GGAGGUGUAGCUCAGUGGUAGGGUGCAUACUUAGCAUGUGUGAGGCCCUGGGUUUAAUCCCUAGUACACCCA
Molecule: transfer RNA, 72 nt
Filed under: Heterocephalus glaber (naked mole-rat)
Lineage: Eukaryota; Metazoa; Chordata; Mammalia; Rodentia; Bathyergidae
Rfam family: tRNA
About the family: Transfer RNA (tRNA) molecules are approximately 80 nucleotides in length. Their secondary structure includes four short double-helical elements and three loops (D, anti-codon, and T loops).
Source: Rfam by way of RNAcentral